This 1507-nucleotide ribosomal RNA is filed under the name uncultured prokaryote. RNAcentral describes it as "partial 16S ribosomal RNA". It matches the Rfam family "Bacterial small subunit ribosomal RNA". The record is from RNAcentral.
AGAGUUGAUCCUGGCUCAGAGCGAACGUUAGCGGCGGGCCUAACACAUGCAAGUCGAACGAGAAAGGGACUUCGGUCCUGAUUAAAGUGGCGCACGGGUGAGUAACACGUAGGUAAUCUACCCUUUGGCGGGGGACAACAUUUCGAAAGAGAUGCUAAUACCGCAUAAGACCACGAUCUCCUUGGAGGAAGUGGGAAAAGGUGGCCUCUUCCACCACCAAAGGAUGAGCCUGCGUCCCAUCAGCUUGUUGGUGAGGUAAUGGCUCACCAAGGCGAAGACGGGUAGCUGGUCUGAGAGGAUGAUCAGCCACACUGGCACUGGAACACGGGCCAGACUCCUACGGGAGGCAGCAGUGAGGAAUAUUGGGCAAUGGGCGAAAGCCUGACCCAGCCACGCCGCGUGAGUGAUGAAGGCCUUCGGGUCGUAAAGCACUGUGGGGAGAGACGAACAUGCGCAGGAGGAAAUGCCUGCGUACUGACGGUACCUCCUUAGCAAGCACCGGCUAACUCUGUGCCAGCAGCCGCGGUAAUACAGAGGGUGCAAGCGUUAAUCGGAAUUACUGGGCGUAAAGCGCGCGUAGGCGGUUAGAUAAGUCAGAUGUGAAAGCCCCGGGCUCAACCUGGGAACUGCAUUUGAAACUGUUUAACUAGAGUGUGGUAGAGGAGAGUGGAAUUUCAGGUGUAGCGGUGAAAUGCGUAGAUAUCUGUAGGAACACCAGUGGCGAAGGCGGCUCUCUGGACCAAUACUGACGCUGAGGUGCGAAAGCGUGGGUAGCAAACGGGAUUAGAUACCCCGGUAGUCCACGCCGUAAACGAUGUCAACUAACUGUUGGGGCGGGUUUCCGCUUAGUGGUGCAGCUAACGCAAUAAGUUGACCGCCUGGGGAGUACGGCCGCAAGGCUAAAACUCAAAUGAAUUGACGGGGGCCCGCACAAGCGGUGGAGCAUGUGGUUUAAUUCGAUGCAACGCGAAGAACCUUACCUACCCUUGACAUCCAGAGAAUCUGUUAGAGAUAGUAGAGUGCCUUCGGGAAUUCUGUGACAGGUGCUGCAUGGCUGUCGUCAGCUCGUGUCGUGAGAUGUUGGGUUAAGUCCCGUAACGAGCGCAACCCUUAUCCUUAGUUGCUAGCAGGUAAUGCUGAGAACUCUAGGGAGACUGCCGGUGAUAAACCGGAGGAAGGUGGGGACGACGUCAAGUCAUCAUGGCCCUUAUGGGUAGGGCUACACACGUGCUACAAUGGUCAGUACAGAGGGUUGCGAACUCGCGAGAGUAAGCUAAUCUCAGAAAGCUGAUCUUAGUCCGGAUUGGAGUCUGCAACUCGACUCCAUGAAGUUGGAAUCGCUAGUAAUCGCGGAUCAGAAUGCCGCGGUGAAUACGUUCCCGGGCCUUGUACACACCGCCCGUCACACCAUGGGAGUGGGUUGCAAAAGAAGUGGGUAGACUAACCUUCGGGAGGUCGCUCACCACUUUGUGAUUCAUGACUGGGGUGAAGUCGUAACAAGGUAGCC